UGCUUGGGUAGCUCAGUUGGUAGAGCGCUUGCCCGCAAAAGGCAAAGGUCCCGAGUUCGAGUCUCGGUCCGGCAC
RNAcentral lists this transfer RNA (75 nucleotides) under Schistocerca americana (American grasshopper). Its description in RNAcentral is "tRNA-Leu". It matches the Rfam family "tRNA". Rfam says of the family: Transfer RNA (tRNA) molecules are approximately 80 nucleotides in length. Their secondary structure includes four short double-helical elements and three loops (D, anti-codon, and T loops). Further hydrogen bonds mediate the characteristic L-shaped molecular structure. tRNAs have two regions of fundamental functional importance: the anti-codon, which is responsible for specific mRNA codon recognition, and the 3' end, to which the tRNAs corresponding amino acid is attached (by aminoacyl-tRNA synthetases). tRNAs cope with the degeneracy of the genetic code in two manners: having more than one tRNA (with a specific anti-codon) for a particular amino acid; and 'wobble' base-pairing, i.e. permitting non-standard base-pairing at the 3rd anti-codon position. Lineage: Eukaryota; Metazoa; Arthropoda; Insecta; Orthoptera; Acrididae. The record is from RNAcentral. RNAcentral also lists the same sequence under 3 other names.